This 463-nucleotide ribosomal RNA is filed under the name uncultured bacterium. RNAcentral's name for it is "bacterial SSU rRNA". It matches the Rfam family "Bacterial small subunit ribosomal RNA", at positions 331 to 792 of the family's 1533-position model. The record is from RNAcentral.
CCAGACUCCUACGGGAGGCAGCAGUGAGGAAUAUUGGUCAAUGGCCGAGAGGCUGAACCAGCCAAGUCGCGUGAGGGAUGACGGCCCUACGGGUUGUAAACCUCUUUUGUCGGGGAGCAAAGAGAGUCACGUGUGGCUCAUUGAGAGUACCCGAAGAAAAAGCAUCGGCUAACUCCGUGCCAGCAGCCGCGGUAAUACGGAGGAUGCGAGCGUUAUCCGGAUUUAUUGGGUUUAAAGGGUGCGUAGGCGGGCUGUUAAGUCAGCGGUCAAAUGUCGGGGCUCAACCCGGGCCUGCCGUUGAAACUGGCGGCCUCGAGUGGGCGAGAAGUAUGCGGAAUGCGUGGUGUAGCGGUGAAAUGCAUAGAUAUCACGCAGAACUCCGAUUGCGAAGGCAGCAUGCCGGCUUCCGACUGACGCUGAAGCACGAAAGCGUGGGGAUCGAACAGGAUUAGAUACCCUUGUA